UACGUAGGGGGCAAGCGUUGUCCGGAAUUACUGGGCGUAAAGCGCGUGUAGGCGGCCCUGCAGGUCGGAUGUGAAAUCCCACGGCUCAACCGUGGAAGUGCAUUCGAAACUGCAGGGCUAGAGUCCUGGAGAGGAAGGUGGAAUGCUUGGUGUAGAGGUGAAAUUCGUAGAUAUCAAGCGGAACACCGGUGGCGAAGGCGGCCUUCUGGACAGUGACUGACGCUGAGACGCGAAAGCGUGGGGAGCAAACAGG
RNAcentral lists this ribosomal RNA (253 nucleotides) under uncultured bacterium. Its description in RNAcentral is "partial 16S ribosomal RNA". It matches the Rfam family "Bacterial small subunit ribosomal RNA", at positions 524 to 776 of the family's 1533-position model. The record is from RNAcentral.